Molecule: ribosomal RNA, 353 nt
Filed under: uncultured fungus
Lineage: Eukaryota; Fungi
Description: eukaryotic LSU rRNA
Source: RNAcentral
AGAGUUAAACAGUACGUGAAAUUGCCAAAAGGGAAACGCUUGGAACCAGUAUUGUCUCCAGGUAAUCAAGUACACGUUCCGCAAGGGUCGCGUGUGGUGCACUUGCCUGUGGACAGGCCAACAUCAGUUUGGUUUGGGGUAAAAAGCCGGAGAAAGGUAGCUUGGACUUGUCUGAGUGUUAUAGUCUCCGGUCAUGCCUUGGACUGGACUGAGGUCUGCAGCGUUAUUUGGGUACCCGAUUGCCUCUUGAACCAUCUUCUUUAGACAGCAUGCUGACUAUGACUCGGUCUAGGGAGCCCGGUUGGGAUUCCACACCAACACUUAGGAUGUUGACGAAAUGGUUUCAAACGACC